UACGGGGGGGGCAAGCGUUGUUCGGAAUUACUGGGCGUAAAGGGCUCGUAGGUGGCCAACUAAGUCGGACGUGAAAUCCCUCGGCUUAACCGGGGAACUGCAUCCGAUACUGGAUGGCUUGAGUUCGGGAGAGGGAAGUGGAAUUCCCGGUGUAGCGGUGAAAUGCGUAGAUAUCGGGAGGAACGCCAGUGGCGAAGGCGGCUCCCUGGCCUGUCCCUGACGCUGAGACGCGAAAGCUGGGGGAGCGAACGGG
This 253-nucleotide ribosomal RNA is filed under the name uncultured bacterium. RNAcentral describes it as "partial 16S ribosomal RNA". It matches the Rfam family "Bacterial small subunit ribosomal RNA", at positions 524 to 776 of the family's 1533-position model. The record is from RNAcentral.